GACGAACGCUGGCGGCGUGCUUAACACAUGCAAGUCGAACGGAAAGGCCCUGCUUUUGUGGGGUGCUCGAGUGGCGAACGGGUGAGUAACACGUGAGUAACCUGCCCUUGACUUUGGGAUAACUUCAGGAAACUGGGGCUAAUACCGGAUAGGAGCUCCUGCUGCAUGGUGGGGGUUGGAAAGUUUCGGCGGUUGGGGAUGGACUCGCGGCUUAUCAGCUUGUUGGUGGGGUAGUGGCUUACCAAGGCUUUGACGGGUAGCCGGCCUGAGAGGGUGACCGGCCACAUUAGGACUGAGAUACGGCCCAGACGCCUACGUGAGGCAGCAGGGGGGAAUAUUACACAAUGGGCGGAAGCCUGAUGCGGCAACGCCGCGUUCGGAAUGACGGCCUUCGGGUUGUAAACCGCUUUCGCCUGUGACGAAGCGUGAGUGACGGUAAUGGGUAAAGAAGCACCGGCUAACUACGUG
RNAcentral lists this ribosomal RNA (468 nucleotides) under uncultured bacterium. Its description in RNAcentral is "partial 16S ribosomal RNA". It matches the Rfam family "Bacterial small subunit ribosomal RNA", at positions 28 to 507 of the family's 1533-position model. The record is from RNAcentral.